CUAUACAUGCAAGUCGAACGCUUCUUUUCCCACCGGAGCUUGCUCCACCGGGAAAAGAGGAGUGGCGAACGGGUGAGUAACACGUGGGUAACCUGCCCAUCAGAAGGGGAUAACACUUGGAAACAGGUGCUAAUACCGUAUAACAAUCGAAACCGCAUGGUUUCGUUUUGAAAGGCGCUUUACGGUGCCGCUGAUGGAUGGACCCGCGGUGCAUUAGCUAGUUGGUGAGGUAACGGCUCACCAAGGCCACGAUGCAUAGCCGACCUGAGAGGGUGAUCGGCCACAUUGGGACUGAGACACGGCCCAAACUCCUACGGGAGGCAGCAGUAGGGAAUCUUCGGCAAUGGACGAAAGUCUGACCGAGCAACGCCGCGUGAGUGAAGAAGGUUUUCGGAUCGUAAAACUCUGUUGUUAGAGAAGAACAAGGGUGAGAGUAACUGUUCACCCCUUGACGGUAUCUAACCAGAAAGCCACGGCUAACUACGUGCCAGCAGCCGCGGUAAUACGUAGGUGGCAAGCGUUGUCCGGAUUUAUUGGGCGUAAAGCGAGCGCAGGCGGUUUCUUAAGUCUGAUGUGAAAGCCCCCGGCUCAACCGGGGAGGGUCAUUGGAAACUGGGAGACUUGAGUGCAGAAGAGGAGAGUGGAAUUCCAUGUGUAGCGGUGAAAUGCGUAGAUAUAUGGAGGAACACCAGUGGCGAAGGCGGCUCUCUGGUCUGUAACUGACGCUGAGGCUCGAAAGCGUGGGGAGCAAACAGGAUUAGAUACCCUGGUAGUCCACGCCGUAAACGAUGAGUGCUAAGUGUUGGAGGGUUUCCGCCCUUCAGUGCUGCAGCUAACGCAUUAAGCACUCCGCCUGGGGAGUACGACCGCAAGGUUGAAACUCAAAGGAAUUGACGGGGGCCCGCACAAGCGGUGGAGCAUGUGGUUUAAUUCGAAGCAACGCGAAGAACCUUACCAGGUCUUGACAUCCUUUGACCACUCUAGAGAUAGAGCUUCCCCUUCGGGGGCAAAGUGACAGGUGGUGCAUGGUUGUCGUCAGCUCGUGUCGUGAGAUGUUGGGUUAAGUCCCGCAACGAGCGCAACCCUUAUUGUUAGUUGCCAUCAUUUAGUUGGGCACUCUAGCAAGACUGCCGGUGACAAACCGGAGGAAGGUGGGGAUGACGUCAAAUCAUCAUGCCCCUUAUGACCUGGGCUACACACGUGCUACAAUGGGAAGUACAACGAGUCGCGAAGUCGCGAGGCUAAGCUAAUCUCUUAAAGCUUCUCUCAGUUCGGAUUGUAGGCUGCAACUCGCCUACAUGAAGCCGGAAUCGCUAGUAAUCGCGGAUCAGCACGCCGCGGUGAAUACGUUCCCGGGCCUUGUACACACCGCCCGUCACACCACGAGAGUUUGUAACACCCGAAGUCGGUGAGGUAACCUUUUUGGAGCCAGCCGCCUAAGGU
RNAcentral lists this ribosomal RNA (1443 nucleotides) under Enterococcus sp. C1-2006. RNAcentral's name for it is "bacterial SSU rRNA". It matches the Rfam family "Bacterial small subunit ribosomal RNA". The record is from RNAcentral. Lineage: Bacteria; Bacillati; Bacillota; Bacilli; Lactobacillales; Enterococcaceae.